Oncorhynchus tshawytscha (Chinook salmon) is the source of this 2870-nucleotide long non-coding RNA. The record is from Ensembl. NCBI's taxonomy places the organism in Eukaryota, Metazoa, Chordata, Actinopteri, Salmoniformes, Salmonidae.
UAGGUGUGAUUGAGACUACAGUAGGUGUGAGUUAGACAACACUAGGUGUGAGACAACACUAGGUGUGAGUGAGACUACAGUAGGUGUGAGUGAGACUACAGUAUGUGUGAGUGAGACUAAAGUAGGUGUGAGUGAGACUACACUAGGUGUUAGUGAGACUACAGUAUGUGUGUGAGUGAGACUACAGUAGGUGUGAGUGAGACUACAGUAUGUGUGUGAGUGAGACUACAGUAGGUGUGAGUGAGACUACAGUAGGUGUGUGAGUGAGACUACAGUAUGUGUGUGAGUGAGACUACAGUAGGUGUGAGUGAGACUACAGUAUGUGUGAGUGAGACUACAGUGUGUGUGAGUGAGACUACAGUAGGUGUGAGUGAGACUACCAUAUGUGUGUGAGUGAGACUACAGUAGGUGUGAGUGAGACUACAGUAGGUGUGAGUGAGACUACAGUAGGUGUGAGUAGGACUACAGUAGGUGUGAGUGAGACUACCGUAUGUGUGUGAGUGAGAUAUGCCUUUCUGCCCUUGAGCAAAGCAGUAACCAGCAACAACAACUCCUCCCCGGCAACAACGUGUAUUAAGGCACCUCCCUGAUUCAGAGGGGUUGUGUUAAAUGCAGAAGACACAUAUUGGUUGAAUGCGUUCGGUUGAUUCCAGCACUCAAUAUUCAUUAGCCUGUACAAACAUUAUAGGUUUAAAUGCAUUUGUGAAUGUACUGUAGCUCUUAUUAGAGUAGGGUUCAAUCCAACCCUAUCUUUGACUCUAUGGUAUAAUAUAUAUAGAUAUAUACUGUAUAUAUAUAUUGCAUGGCUGUGUAAAAUAUAUACAGUAUAUUCAUGCUUAUUACCCACCUGUGCUGGGCCAAUCAAACAAAAAAACAUCACUCUGCAAAUGGAGGGUGACAUUAUUGUCAAGCAAAAGAGCCCAGAUCUGUGCAAAAAAUACCAUAAAACAAUCUCUGCAUCAUGAUUUUUUAAAGUAAGUCAACUGCAUGUGAUGCAUUUGUGAGUGGCAGUAUUUGGAACACACACUGAAUAAUGUGCCUUCCUGUCUAUUUGAAAUGUUAGCCAUCAAACAGGCAGUGUCAAUACAGGGCUAAAAUCGAAUCACACUACACCGGCUCGGACGCUUGACAGAUGUGGCAGGGUUUGCAAACUAUCACGGAUUACAAAAGGGAAACCCAGCCGUGAGAUGCCCAGCGACGCGAUCCUACCAGAAGAGCUAAAUGUCUUCAAUGCUCGCAAGCAACACUGAACCAUGCAUAUGAGAGCACCAGUUGUUCCGAAAGACUGUGUGAUCUUGCUCUUAAUAGCCAAUGUAAGUAAGACCUUUAAACAGGUUAACAUUCACAAAGCAACGGGGACAGACGAAAUACCAGGAUGCAUACUCAGAGCAUGCUCUGACCAGCUUGCAAGUGUCUUCACUGACAUUUUACAUUUUCAAGUUUUAAUGUCAUGUGCACAAGUACAGUGAAUGCUUUUCUUGCAAGCUCUAAACCCAACAAUCCAGUAAAAAUAACUAAAAAUAAGAAAUCCCCUAUCCUUGACCCGGUCUGUAAUACCAACUUGUUUCAAGCAGACUACCAAAUCAAAUCAAAUCAAAUGUAUUUAUAUAGCCCUUCGUACAUCAGCUGAUAUCUCAAAGCGCUGUACAGAAACCCAGCCUAAAACCCCAAACAGCAAGCAAUGCAGGUGUAGAAGCACGGACCACCAUAGUCCCCGUGCCCAAGAAUGCCAAAGUAACCUGCCUAAAUUACUAUCGCCCCGUCGUUCUCACAUCUAUAGCUUUGAAAGGCUGGUCAUGGCUCACAUCAACACCAUCACCCCAGACACCCUGGACCCACUCCAAUUUGCAUACCGCCCCAACAGAUCCACAGAUGACGCAAUCUUUAUUGCACUCCACACUGCCCUCACCCACCUGGACAAAAGGAAUAUCUUUGUAAGAAUUAUGUUCAUUGACUACAGCUCAGCGUUCAACGCCAUAGUCCCCUCCAAGCUCAUCACCAAGCUCAGGACAAUGGGGCUGAACACCUCCCUCUGCAACUGGAUCCUGGACUUCAAAUAUGCCUACCGGUAGCCAGUGAUAUAAUGUUCCAAAACAUAGGUGGGUUAACUCUGAUUGGCGGUAAUGGUGUAAAAAAGUAACUCUCCCCAUGCUUUCAGUGUCGGGGGCCUACACCCCUGCCGGUAGCCUACCCUCUCAACCAAGGCCAUUUUAAACACAGGAACACACGCAGAAUAGGUAGUCUACAUUGAAUAUAAUACAUGAGUUCAAUUAAAUCAUGUUUUACACCCUAGUUCAUGAGUCCAUAUUUAAUGAGUUAAAUGCUUGGAGUCUUCACAGAUCGUGUGACAUAAAACACAACCAUUCUUUCUUUACAUUAAUGCCAUUUAUGACAGUGUUAUUUGUCAUUACUCUCAGGAAUCAAGGUAAGACCCAAGUGCAGACUAUGUGAAGUAACAAUGUUUAUUGUAACCACCGGGUCAGGCAAAUGACAGGUCAAGGCAGGCAGGGGUCGACAAUCCAGAGUAGGAGCAAAGGUACAGGACGGCAGGCAGGUACAGGGUCAGGACAGGCAAGGGUCAAAAACCAGGAGGACGAGAGAAAGCGAGGCUGGGAAAAGACAGGAGCUGACAGGACGACCGCUGGUAAGCUUGACAAACAAGACCAACUGACAACAGACAGACAGAAAACACAGGUAUAAGUACACAGGGGAUAAUGGGGAAGAUGGGCGACACCUGGAGGUGUGUAUAAGUACACAGGGGAUAAUGGGGAAGCUGGGCGACACCUGGAGGUGUGUAUAAGUACACAGGGGAUAAUGGGGAAGCUGGGCGACACCUGGAGGUGUGUAUAAGUACACAGGGGAUAAUGGGG